UCAUGGCCUGAAGGACCUACGUCCCUUCCUAUCUUGUACCGCUGCUUCUCUUCCUCAUGACCCUUCAACCUUCCCGGCCACCUUCUGUCCCCCAGUCCCAGCUUCCCAUGCCUACAGGGGCUGCCUGGAGUCCCCUCGUCUGCCUUUAGGACAUGCCAGGUCCUUCUCAGCCUUUCCAAGUCAGCUUUGUAUGCUCUACGCACACCCCUCCCCCCAAGAGAAUCCCAAGAGGUUCUGAGAGAGUGCAGAACCCAUACGGAUUGCCGAUGUCCUAACAUCUUUGUGAUGGCGAGAGAUUGCAUCCAUGCGGGAAGCAAAUGGGCGAAAAGCUGGAUGUAGAGUUCAGAUGAAUGAGAAAAAGGUGCCAAAUUAAAGAUACCCAGUCAAAGAAGGAAGAUGAACUUCGGAUUUCACUUGGCCUCACAGUGUUUGAGCAUCUCACCACCUGCCUCAUUGAAGCUGGGCAGAGAUGAUCUUCUGGAAGUUUCUCUGUCUCUCAGACACUCAACCUGAAUAUAACCAACAUCUUUAAAAGUUACCGAGUGAAGUUGGUUUGAAACCAUACUUCCCCGACCAUUUUCCAUAUGGGCCAUCACCAGGAUUGCUUUUUCUGUCACACCCAAUGUGCCCGCAUCUCUGUGUGCCCCUGAGAGCUUAAUUCCAAACGGGAACGUCCUGUGUGUGUUCUGCAUGAACCGAGUUAGGCAGUGAUGGCGACCUGCUCCAGGAAGUGAUUCAAAGUGAGAUCAGGAGGAACCUGAGGGCCACUGUCGCUGGCGCAGAAGGCUGGCUCCCGGUUGCCUGGACACUUUUGUGCUUGGUGAUUUAAUUCGGCCCAGAUGCUGGGAGUUCUCUUUCUCCUUCUCCUCUGGGGCAGUGGGUGUUGUUGCCGGGGACCCAGGGGGGUCAGGGCGAGCGAAUGAAACAGAAGAAAAGUUGG
Suricata suricatta (meerkat) is the source of this 940-nucleotide long non-coding RNA. RefSeq lists it as uncharacterized. The record is from RefSeq and is a predicted model, not a curated record. Lineage: Eukaryota; Metazoa; Chordata; Mammalia; Carnivora; Herpestidae. The transcript has 3 exons.